This 1117-nucleotide ribosomal RNA is filed under the name Escherichia coli. RNAcentral describes it as "bacterial SSU rRNA". It matches the Rfam family "Bacterial small subunit ribosomal RNA", at positions 1 to 1107 of the family's 1533-position model. Lineage: Bacteria; Pseudomonadati; Pseudomonadota; Gammaproteobacteria; Enterobacterales; Enterobacteriaceae. The record is from RNAcentral.
AAAUUGAAGAGUUUGAUCAUGGCUCAGAUUGAACGCUGGCGGCAGGCCUAACACAUGCAAGUCGAACGGUAACAGGAAGCAGCUUGCUGCUUCGCUGACGAGUGGCGGACGGGUGAGUAAUGUCUGGGAAACUGCCUGAUGGAGGGGGAUAACUACUGGAAACGGUAGCUAAUACCGCAUAAUGUCGCAAGACCAAAGAGGGGGACCUUCGGGCCUCUUGCCAUCGGAUGUGCCCAGAUGGGAUUAGCUUGUUGGUGGGGUAACGGCUCACCAAGGCGACGAUCCCUAGCUGGUCUGAGAGGAUGACCAGCCACACUGGAACUGAGACACGGUCCAGACUCCUACGGGAGGCAGCAGUGGGGAAUAUUGCACAAUGGGCGCAAGCCUGAUGCAGCCAUGCCGCGUGUAUGAAGAAGGCCUUCGGGUUGUAAAGUACUUUCAGCGGGGAGGAAGGGAGUAAAGUUAAUACCUUUGCUCAUUGACGUUACCCGCAGAAGAAGCACCGGCUAACUCCGUGCCAGCAGCCGCGGUAAUACGGAGGGUGCAAGCGUUAAUCGGAAUUACUGGGCGUAAAGCGCACGCAGGCGGUUUGUUAAGUCAGAUGUGAAAUCCCCGGGCUCAACCUGGGAACUGCAUCUGAUACUGGCAAGCUUGAGUCUCGUAGAGGGGGGUAGAAUUCCAGGUGUAGCGGUGAAAUGCGUAGAGAUCUGGAGGAAUACCGGUGGCGAAGGCGGCCCCCUGGACGAAGACUGACGCUCAGGUGCGAAAGCGUGGGGAGCAAACAGGAUUAGAUACCCUGGUAGUCCACGCCGUAAACGAUGUCGACUUGGAGGUUGUGCCCUUGAGGCGUGGCUUCCGGAGCUAACGCGUUAAGUCGACCGCCUGGGGAGUACGGCCGCAAGGUUAAAACUCAAAUGAAUUGACGGGGGCCCGCACAAGCGGUGGAGCAUGUGGUUUAAUUCGAUGCAACGCGAAGAACCUUACCUGGUCUUGACAUCCACAGAACUUUCCAGAGAUGGAUUGGUGCCUUCGGGAACUGUGAGACAGGUGCUGCAUGGCUGUCGUCAGCUCGUGUUGUGAAAUGUUGGGUUAAGUCCCGCAACGAGCGCAACCCUUA